CUCAUGCCAUCAGAUGUGCCCAGAUGGGAUUAGCUUGUAGGUGGGGUAACGGCUCACCUAGGCGACGAUCCCUAGCUGGUCUGAGAGGAUGACCAGCCACACUGGAACUGAGACACGGUCCAGACUCCUACGGGAGGCAGCAGUGGGGAAUAUUGCACAAUGGGCGCAAGCCUGAUGCAGCCAUGCCGCGUGUGUGAAGAAGGCCUUCGGGUUGUAAAGCACUUUCAGCGGGGAGGAAGGCGAUAAGGUUAAUAACCUUGUCGAUUGACGUUACCCGCAGAAGAAGCACCGGCUAACUCCGUGCCAGCAGCCGCGGUAAUACGGAGGGUGCAAGCGUUAAUCGGAAUUACUGGGCGUAAAGCGCACGCAGGCGGUCUGUCAAGUCGGAUGUGAAAUCCCCGGGCUCAACCUGGGAACUGCAUUCGAAACUGGCAGGCUAGAGUCUUGUAGAGGGGGGUAGAAUUCCAGGUGUAGCGGUGAAAUGCGUAGAGA
This 492-nucleotide ribosomal RNA is filed under the name Klebsiella pneumoniae. RNAcentral's name for it is "bacterial SSU rRNA". It matches the Rfam family "Bacterial small subunit ribosomal RNA", at positions 212 to 696 of the family's 1533-position model. Lineage: Bacteria; Pseudomonadati; Pseudomonadota; Gammaproteobacteria; Enterobacterales; Enterobacteriaceae. The record is from RNAcentral.